Gorilla gorilla gorilla (western lowland gorilla) is the source of this 699-nucleotide long non-coding RNA. RefSeq lists it as uncharacterized. The transcript has 6 exons. NCBI's taxonomy places the organism in Eukaryota, Metazoa, Chordata, Mammalia, Primates, Hominidae. The record is from RefSeq and is a predicted model, not a curated record.
CCUAACUCUGCCAUUUUCCAGCUGUGUGGCUUUGGGCAAGUUAUUUAACCUCUCUAUGCCUCAACUUCUUCAUGUAAAAUGGCAGUAAUAAUAAUACGAAUGCCACAGAGCUGUGGAUGAAAUGAGCCCAUUCCAGUCUGGCUUCUUUAACCAGGAAGAUGUGAGCUGAGAGCUGUGGAGUAGAUGUCUUCACCAGAUGAGUACACAGAGAGUCUUGUGAAUAAGGUAUUCAGGAAGCACAGCUGUCUUGUGUUCCUGAAGCCAUAUCAGGAUUCAGCAGGAAAGAGCACCAAGAUCACUUGGCAAUGUUUAUCCUGAUCAAGCACGGGCACUGAUGGCAGAAUAGGUGAGAACCAGAGAAAAAUAUUGUUAAACCCAGGAGCCCAAGCUAUAUGAUCAACUGGAAAGACUCAGUAGGUAAAUUGACAGCCUAUCUUCACAGAUGCAGGACAAAGGACAGAACUCUAAGUCAUCCCUGUGCUCACCUGAGACAAAUGCAUGUCUGAUUGCUUCCACUGAUGUAAAAAUGCAGAUUUGCUGAGUUAGACGAAGACGAUGGCAGAGAGCAGUCUUCAUCCUGAGCCCCAUUCCUAGGUAAGUAGCUGAAUUGGGGUUUUGUUUUGGAAAUUCUCCUUAAUGGCUAAAGUUAAGAUUAACAACCAGCUGGUCUUAAUUUCUUCUUACCAUUAGAGCACUCAG